AUUGAACGCUGGCGGCAUGCCUUACACAUGCAAGUCGAACGGCAGCACGGACUUCGGUCUGGUGGCGAGUGGCGAACGGGUGAGUAAUGUAUCGGAACGUACCUUUCAGUGGGGGAUAACGUAGCGAAAGUUACGCUAAUACCGCAUAUUCUGUGAGCAGGAAAGCAGGGGAUCGCAAGACCUUGCGCUGAUUGAGCGGCCGAUAUCAGAUUAGCUAGUUGGUGGGGUAAAGGCCUACCAAGGCUACGAUCUGUAGCGGGUCUGAGAGGAUGAUCCGCCACACUGGAACUGAGACACGGUCCAGACUCCUACGGGAGGCAGCAGUGGGGAAUUUUGGACAAUGGGGCGAACCCUGAUCCAGCCAUGCCGCGUGAGUGAAGAAGGCCUCGUUGUAAGUA
RNAcentral lists this ribosomal RNA (398 nucleotides) under uncultured bacterium. RNAcentral's name for it is "bacterial SSU rRNA". It matches the Rfam family "Bacterial small subunit ribosomal RNA", at positions 30 to 430 of the family's 1533-position model. The record is from RNAcentral.